CGGCGGACGGGUGAGUAACGCGUGGGUAACCUACCCCAUAGUCCGGGAUAACAGCGGGAAACCGCUGCUAAUACCGGAUGCCUUUACCUUGGGGCAUCUUGAGGUAAAGAAAGGUAACGCUUUGGGAUGGGCCCGCGUCCCAUUAGCUAGUUGGUGAGGUAACGGCUCACCAAGGCGACGAUGGGUAGCCGGCCUGAGAGGGUGGACGGCCACACUGGGACUGAGACACGGCCCAGACUCCUACGGGAGGCAGCAGUAGGGAAUAUUGCGCAAUGGACGGAAGUCUGACGCAGCGACGCCGCGUGAGCGAUGAAGGUCUUCGGAUCGUAAAGCUCUGUCCUUGGGGAAGAAGGCGAAAGCUUGACGGUACCCAAGAAGAAAGCCCCGGCUAACUACGUGCCAGCAGCCGCGGUAAUACGUAGGGGGCGAGCGUUGUCCGGAAUUACUGGGCGUA
Molecule: ribosomal RNA, 454 nt
Filed under: uncultured bacterium
Lineage: Bacteria
Description: bacterial SSU rRNA
Rfam family: Bacterial small subunit ribosomal RNA
Source: RNAcentral